AGUGGCUCUUUGGCACAAUUCUUUGUUAUAAAACACUCUUAAAUCAAUAUACCGAUUAGUCGACAUAUGCCUUAAACCCAUCAUCUCUAUGCAGAGUUGUAGGUCCAGCAGAGCAUGAAAACAUAACUAUUGUAUGGACAUUUGGGUAAAUCAUGUAAAUUCAGAGAUGAAAAUCAGAUAUUUCUUA
Long non-coding RNA from Centropristis striata (black sea bass), 187 nucleotides. RefSeq lists it as uncharacterized. The record is from RefSeq and is a predicted model, not a curated record. The transcript has 3 exons. NCBI's taxonomy places the organism in Eukaryota, Metazoa, Chordata, Actinopteri, Perciformes, Serranidae.